Caretta caretta (loggerhead turtle) is the source of this 2731-nucleotide RNA transcript. It is a transcript of the gene named vacuolar protein sorting 45 homolog, with no coding region annotated. The record is from RefSeq and is a predicted model, not a curated record. NCBI's taxonomy places the organism in Eukaryota, Metazoa, Chordata, Testudines, Cheloniidae.
GAAGGAAAGCAGCUAGCUGCACAGGAGAAAGGAGGAGUUGGUUGCUCAGUGCCUAGCCUAGUAUUACCCACUGCAGAAGGGGCAGGGAGGGGGAAAGCAAUCGCUUGUGAAAAUGAAUGUAGUCUUUGCAGUGAAGCAAUAUGUGUCCAAGAUGAUUGAAGACAGCGGGCCUGGGAUGAAGGUCCUCCUGAUGGAUAAAGAAACGACCAGUAUCGUGAGCAUGGUGUAUACACAGUCAGAAAUCCUUCAGAAGGAAGUUUACCUCUUUGAGCGUAUCGAUUCUUUGAACAGAGAGACUAUGAAACACUUGAAAGCAAUCUGUUUUUUGCGACCGACAAAGGAGAAUGUGGAAUACCUCAUUCAGGAGCUGCGGAGGCCCAAGUACAGCAUCUAUUAUAUUUAUUUCAGUAAUGUGAUCAGUAAGAGUGAUGUAAAGUCACUGGCUGAGGCUGACGAGCAGGAAGUUGUGGCAGAAGUUCAGGAGUUCUAUGGAGAUUACAUUGCCGUGAAUCCACACGUGUUUUCCCUCAACCUCCUGGGCUGCUGCCAGGGUCGCAGCUGGGAUCUGGCCCAGCUGUCCAGAACAGCCCAAGGGCUGACUGCUUUGCUUCUGUCUCUGAAGAAGUGCCCCAUGAUUCGUUACCAGCUCUCCUCUGAUCCUGCAAAGAGACUCGCUGAAUGUGUCAAGCAAGUGAUUACUAAAGAAUACGAGCUGUUUGAUUUCCGGCGCACUGAAGUUCCUCCAUUACUGCUUAUUCUGGACCGCUCCGAUGAUGCCAUCACCCCACUUCUGAACCAGUGGACGUACCAGGCCAUGGUCCAUGAACUGCUGGGGAUUAACAACAACCGAAUUGACCUCUCUCGAGUACCCGGCAUCAGCAAGGAUCUCAGGGAGGUGGUUCUGUCUGCUGAGAACGACGAGUUUUAUGCCAACAACAUGUACCUGAACUUUGCAGAGAUUGGGAGCAAUAUCAAGAACCUAAUGGAGGAUUUCCAGCGGAGGAAACCGAAGGAGCAGCAGAAGCUGGAGUCCAUAGCUGACAUGAAGGCAUUUGUGGAGAACUACCCGCAGUUCAAGAAGAUGUCGGGCACGGUAUCGAAGCACGUGACUGUGGUGGGGGAGCUCUCCCGGCUGGCCAGUGAGCGGAACCUGCUGGAGGUGUCGGAGGUCGAGCAGGAACUGGCCUGCCAGAAUGACCACUCCAGUGCUCACCAGAACGUGCGGCGGCUCCUGCAGAACCCCAAGGUGACAGAGUUCGAUGCCACGCGGCUGGUGAUGCUCUACGCCCUGCACUAUGAGCGACACAGCAGCAACAGCCUGCCCGGGCUGAUGAUGGACCUCAAGAACAAAGGGGUUUCCGAGAAGUAUCGGAAGCUGGUGUCAGCGGUUGUGGAAUACGGUGGGAAGCGGGUCCGGGGCAGCGAUCUCUUCAGCCCCAAGGAUGCCGUCGCCAUUACCAAGCAGUUCCUCAAAGGCCUGAAGGGCGUUGAGAACGUGUAUACGCAGCAUCAGCCCUUCCUGCAUGAGACUCUAGAUCAGCUCAUCAAAGGAAAACUUAAGGAUGGCCAGUACCCCUACCUGGGUCCCAGCACGCUCCGGGACAGGCCUCAAGAUAUUAUUGUGUUUAUCAUUGGAGGAGCAACCUAUGAAGAGGCGUUAACUGUGUAUAACCUUAACCGCACCACCCCUGGGGUCCGGAUCGUAUUGGGAGGGACCACCAUCCACAACACAAAAAGGCCCCGCACGAGUAGCAAGCCCAGACCUGGGUGCACUCUGCAGUGAAGAUGACAAGCCUUGAGCAUCUGUCAACACCCACCCCUUCUCCCCCAUCCGCCCGCUGACCCAGCUCAUCUAUGCCUCCCCCUUGGAGAGGAAGCGGCACGUCUGAAGGAAACCUGCUAGUGAGCUUCCUCGAGGAAAUUUCAGCUUCCGGGUUCCGCGGCCGGGGCGCCGAGAGCUCUCAAGUUACAGUGAGAGCGAGCAGCAGGCGGUGAACACUGGGGGACGCCGCCGCUUCCCAUCUGGAGCUCCUACAGGCUGACCAGACGGCGUCGAAGCGGCGUCGAAGCGGCGCCGGGCGCUCCCGCGGUCCAUCUUGCCAUCCUGCUGCUAAGCAACACACAAGCUGGCCUCUGCCUCAACAGGCCAGGCCGGGCCCGAAAUCCCAGCAUCCUUGGCGUUACCUUCCUGCAUGGCUCUUUAACGGGACGCAGCAGAAGAACUGCAGGGAGGUGGCGGAAUCACAGAUCCUGGGAAAACGUUACCUUUGGGUGCCCGGCGCCUUUGAAAAUCCAGCUAUUUCUGUGUCUCUUCAUAACCACAACUGGCCUGCCCAGAAUCUCCAGUUGCCUGCGUGUGUUGAUCUCUCCAAGGUAAAGGCUGGAUGGGCUCUCGCAGCCUCUGGCUCUAUUUGUUUAAUUGUCUGCAGCCCAGCUCCUCACCGAUAACUUUCAGGGUCUAGGACUGUAUGUUUGGAAGUUCAUUAAACAUCCCACUGUGACCAACUCUUAUAUUUUAAAUGAUUCCAGAUAUUUGUCCCCCUCCUUUUUAUAAUGUCCAUGAAACUAGCUAUAUUCCUGACUGGCCCCAUUCUUGAGCCCCUGCGUCCAUGGGGGACAGAGCAGCACGGGCCCCUGUACUCCUUCCCCCCUUUCUGUUCCCGUGUUGUGAUCGGGAAAAGUUCGUGUGACGCUAAUAAAAAUAAAAUUCAGUUUUCUGGCAGAAACAACA